UGCCCAGCAACUCCUAUCCCUACCUCCUCGCGGUACUGACCGGGGUACGAGUAACCUUAGGGAAGAUCCGGUAACCAACUUCGGUGGG
This 88-nucleotide ribozyme is filed under the name Aedes aegypti (yellow fever mosquito). RNAcentral's name for it is "drz-agam-1 ribozyme". It matches the Rfam family "drz-agam-1 ribozyme". The record is from Rfam by way of RNAcentral. Lineage: Eukaryota; Metazoa; Arthropoda; Insecta; Diptera; Culicidae.